UGGCAGCACUCUAAAACUUCAGAGGCCUAU
Molecule: non-coding RNA, 30 nt
Filed under: Rattus norvegicus (Norway rat)
Lineage: Eukaryota; Metazoa; Chordata; Mammalia; Rodentia; Muridae
Source: RNAcentral